RNAcentral lists this ribosomal RNA (254 nucleotides) under uncultured bacterium. Its description in RNAcentral is "partial 16S ribosomal RNA". It matches the Rfam family "Bacterial small subunit ribosomal RNA", at positions 524 to 776 of the family's 1533-position model. The record is from RNAcentral.
GACAGAGGGUGCAAACGUUGUUCGGAAUUACUGGGCGUAAAGCGUGCGCAGGCGGUUUUGUAAGCCAGAUGUGAAAUCCCCGGGCUUAACCUGGGAAUGGCAUUUGGGACUGCAAGGCUGGAGUUUGGCAGAGGAGACUGGAAUUCCUGGUGUAGCGGUGAAAUGCGCAGAUAUCAGGAGGAACACCGGUGGCGAAGGCGGGGUCUCUGGGCCGAUACUGACGCUGAGGAGCGAAAGCGUGGGGAGCGAACAGG